This 253-nucleotide ribosomal RNA is filed under the name uncultured bacterium. RNAcentral's name for it is "partial 16S ribosomal RNA". It matches the Rfam family "Bacterial small subunit ribosomal RNA", at positions 524 to 776 of the family's 1533-position model. The record is from RNAcentral.
UACAGAGGGUGCGAGCGUUGUUCGGAAUUAUUGGGCGUAAAGGGCGCGUAGGCGGUGCGGUAAGUCACCUGUGAAAUCUCCUGGCUCAACUGGGAGCUUGCAGGCGAAACUGCCGUGCUGGAGUGUGGGAGAGGUGCGUGGAAUUCCCGGUGUAGCGGUGAAAUGCGUAGAGAUCGGGAGGAACACCUGCGGCGAAAGCGGCUCACUGGACCAUAACUGACGCUGAUGCACGAAAGCUAGGGGAGCAAACAGG